RNAcentral lists this ribosomal RNA (2930 nucleotides) under Proteus mirabilis. Its description in RNAcentral is "23S ribosomal RNA". It matches the Rfam family "Bacterial large subunit ribosomal RNA". Lineage: Bacteria; Pseudomonadati; Pseudomonadota; Gammaproteobacteria; Enterobacterales; Morganellaceae. The record is from RNAcentral.
GGGUUGUGAGGUUAAGCGAAUAAGCGUACACGGUGGAUGCCUAGGCAAUCAGAGGCGAUGAAGGACGUGCUAAUCUGCGAAAAGCGUCGGUAAGGUGAUAUGAACCGCUAUACCCGACGAUAUCCGAAUGGGGAAACCCAGUAUCCAAUGGAUACUAUCAUUAACUGAAUCCAUAGGUUAAUGAGGCGAACCGGGAGAACUGAAACAUCUCAGUACCCCGAGGAAAAGAAAUCAACCGAGAUUCCCCUAGUAGCGGCGAGCGAACGGGGAGCAGCCCAGAGUCUUAAUCAAUAGCAGUGUCAGGAGAACGGUCUGGAAAGUCCGGCAGUAAAGGGUGAUAGCCCCGUAUCUGAAGAUGCUGUUAUUGUGAACUCGACGAGUAGGGCGGGACACGUGUUAUCCUGUCUGAAUAUGGGGGGACCAUCCUCCAAGGCUAAAUACUCCUGAUUGACCGAUAGUGAACCAGUACCGUGAGGGAAAGGCGAAAAGAACCCCGGCGAGGGGAGUGAAAAAGAACCUGAAACCGUGUACGUACAAGCAGUAGGAGCCUCUUUAUGGGGUGACUGCGUACCUUUUGUAUAAUGGGUCAGCGACUUAUAUUCUGUAGCAAGGUUAACCGUAUAGGGGAGCCGUAGGGAAACCGAGUCUUAACUAGGCGAAUGAGUUGCAGGGUAUAGACCCGAAACCCGGUGAUCUAUCCAUGGGCAGGUUGAAGGUUGGGUAACACUAACUGGAGGACCGAACCGACUAAUGUUGAAAAAUUAGCGGAUGACUUGUGGAUGGGGGUGAAAGGCCAAUCAAACCGGGAGAUAGCUGGUUCUCCCCGAAAGCUAUUUAGGUAGCGCCUCGUGAACUCAUCUUCGGGGGUAGAGCACUGUUUCGACUAGGGGGUCAUCCCGACUUACCAACUCGAUGCAAACUGCGAAUACCGAAGAAUGUUAUCACGGGAGACACACGGCGGGUGCUAACGUCCGUCGUGAAGAGGGAAACAACCCAGACCGCCAGCUAAGGUCCCAAAGUCAUGGUUAAGUGGGAAACGAAGUGGGAAGGCUCAGACAGCCAGGAUGUUGGCUUAGAAGCAGCCAUCAUUUAAAGAAAGCGUAAUAGCUCACUGGUCGAGUCGGCCCGCGCGGAAGAUGUAACGGGGCUAAACCAUGCACCGAAGCUGCGGCAGCGACACAAAGUGUUGUUGGGUAGGGGAGCGUUCUGUAAGCCUGCGAAGGUGUACUGUGAGGUAUGCUGGAGGUAUCAGAAGUGCGAAUGCUGACAUAAGUAACGAUAAUGCGGGUGAAAAACCCGCACGCCGGAAGACCAAGGGUUCCUGUCCAACGUUAAUCGGGGCAGGGUGAGUCGACCCCUAAGGCGAGGCUGAAAAGCGUAGUCGAUGGGAAACGGGUUAAUAUUCCCGUACUGGUGGUAACUGCGAUGGGGGAACGGAGAAGGCUAGGUUGUCCGGGCGACGGUCGUCCCGGUUCAAGCAGGUAGGCAGAGUGAUUAGGCAAAUCCGGUCACUUAAUGCUGAGAUGUGAUGACGAACCACCAAGGUGGUGAAGCAAUUGAUGCCCCGCUUCCAGGAAAAGCCUCUAAGCUUCAGGUUACCAACAAUCGUACCCCAAACCGACACAGGUGGUCAGGUAGAGAAUACUCAGGCGCUUGAGAGAACUCGGGUGAAGGAACUAGGCAAAAUGGUGCCGUAACUUCGGGAGAAGGCACGCUGGCGGUAGGUAAAGUCCCUCGCGGACGGCGCUGAAGCCAGUCGAAGAUACCAGCUGGCUGCAACUGUUUAUUAAAAACACAGCACUGUGCAAACACGAAAGUGGACGUAUACGGUGUGACGCCUGCCCGGUGCUGGAAGGUUAAUUGAUGGGGUCAGCCGCAAGGCGAAGCUCCUGAUCGAAGCCCCAGUAAACGGCGGCCGUAACUAUAACGGUCCUAAGGUAGCGAAAUUCCUUGUCGGGUAAGUUCCGACCUGCACGAAUGGCGUAAUGAUGGCCAGGCUGUCUCCACCCGAGACUCAGUGAAAUUGAACUCGCUGUGAAGAUGCAGUGUACCCGCGGCAAGACGGAAAGACCCCGUGAACCUUUACUAUAGCUUGACACUGAACAUUGAGCCUUGAUGUGUAGGAUAGGUGGGAGGCUUUGAAGUGUGGACGCCAGUCUGCAUGGAGCCAACCUUGAAAUACCACCCUUUAACGUUUGAUGUUCUAACCUAGGCCCAUAAACUGGGUCGGGGACCGUGUCUGGUGGGUAGUUUGACUGGGGCGGUCUCCUCCUAAAGAGUAACGGAGGAGCACGAAGGUUGGCUAAGCAUGGUCGGACAUCAUGCGGUUAGUGCAAAGGCAUAAGCCAGCUUGACUGCGAGAGUGACGGCUCGAGCAGGUACGAAAGUAGGUCUUAGUGAUCCGGUGGUUCUGAAUGGAAGGGCCAUCGCUCAACGGAUAAAAGGUACUCCGGGGAUAACAGGCUGAUACCGCCCAAGAGUUCAUAUCGACGGCGGUGUUUGGCACCUCGAUGUCGGCUCAUCACAUCCUGGGGCUGAAGUAGGUCCCAAGGGUAUGGCUGUUCGCCAUUUAAAGUGGUACGCGAGCUGGGUUUAGAACGUCGUGAGACAGUUCGGUCCCUAUCUGCCGUGGGCGUUGGAAGAUUGAGAGGGGUUGCUCCUAGUACGAGAGGACCGGAGUGAACGCACCACUGGUGUUCGGGUUGUCAUGCCAAUGGCAUUGCCCGGUAGCUAAGUGCGGAAGAGAUAACCGCUGAAAGCAUCUAAGCGGGAAACUUGCCUCGAGAUGAGUCUUCCCUGUCGCUUUAAGCGACCUAAAGGAACGUUUAAGACUAAGACGUUGAUAGGCUGGGUGUGUAAGCGUAGCGAUACGUUGAGCUAACCAGUACUAAUGAACCGUGAGGCUUAACCUGACAACACCGAAGGUGUUU